GAUGAACGCUGACAGAAUGCUUAACACAUGCAAGUCAACUUGAACUUCGGUUCGGGUGGCGGACGCGGGAAUAACGCGAAAAAAACUUGCCUCACAGAUAGUGACAACAUUUGGAAACGAAGGCUAAUACCUGAUAUUAUGAUUAUAUGGCACCGUAUAAUUAUGAAAGCUAUAUGCGCUGUGAGAGAGCUUUGCGUCCCACGAGCUAGUUGGAGAGGUAACGGCUAACCACGGCGAUGAUGGGUAGCCGGCCUGGGAGGUUGAUCGGCAACAAGGGGACUAGGAACCGGCCCUUACCCCUCCGGGAGGAAGCGGUGGGGAAUAUUGGACAAGGGACCAAGAGUCUGGUCCAGCCAUUCUGUGUGGAAGAUGAAGUUUCUCGGAAUGAAAAGUGCUUUGCGUUGAGAAGGAGAAAAUGACGGUACCUACAGAAGAAGCGACGGCUAAAUACGUG
RNAcentral lists this ribosomal RNA (454 nucleotides) under uncultured bacterium. Its description in RNAcentral is "partial 16S ribosomal RNA". It matches the Rfam family "Bacterial small subunit ribosomal RNA", at positions 28 to 507 of the family's 1533-position model. The record is from RNAcentral.